Molecule: long non-coding RNA, 1334 nt
Filed under: Salmo salar (Atlantic salmon)
Lineage: Eukaryota; Metazoa; Chordata; Actinopteri; Salmoniformes; Salmonidae
Description: lncRNA (ENSSSAG00000116153.1)
Source: RNAcentral
GUUGCCGUGGAGAACGACGAGGGUGUCGUUAGCGGGAAAGCGGUCUCCCGAGGCGUCGGUUGGGUCGUCGCGACGACUGUGGUCGAGACGCCAGAGGAAGGCGAAGUCUUGCGGGUCGGUCUGGGAGGAGCGAUCUGUGUCGGCCAAUGACGGAGGAGGGGAGGGGCGGUGGGGGUUAGGGUUAAGGUUAGGGUUGAGGUCAGGGUUAAGGUCAGGGUUGAGGUCAGGGUCAAGGUUAAGGUUAGGGUCGAGGUUAGGGUUAAGGUUAGGGUCGAGGUCAGGGUUGAGGUUAGGGUCGAGGUCAGGGUUGAGGUUAGGGUCAAGGUCAGGGUUAAGGUCAGGGUUGAGGUUAGGGUCAGGGUUAAGGUCGGGGUUAAGGUUAAGGUCAGAGUCGAGAUUAGGGGCGAGGUCAGAGUCGAGAUUAGGGGCAAGGUCAGAGUCGAGAUUAGGGUCAAGGUCAGGGUCAAGGUCAGGGGCGAGGUCUAUCUGUGGUUUGGGGGAGGGAGGGGUGUUGUUUGUGAAGGUGAGUGCCAGUUUGCACUGUUUCCCCGCCCUGCGACUCUGCUGCUGCUGCUUCCGCUCCUGACUGCCCCCACCAAGAUGGCCGAAUUCACCUUCCAUCCUGGUCUCACUAGCAUCAGUACACUGACUGACCUCACCAACAUGGCUGUCUUCACCAGCUUCCUCACUGCCCUCACCAAUAUGGCUGUCACUAUCAGCACACUGACUGCCCCCACCAAGAUGGCCGACUUCACCUUCCAUCCUGGUCUCACUAGCAUCAGUACACUGACUGACCUCACCAACAUGGCCUCGAUCUACCUUACCAGGAUGGCUUCCCUCUACCUCCACCAAGUCUUCCUCAACUAAACCCCGAGUCGUCCCCCCCUCUACGGCGACCUGGAUGGUCUCUCCCUCCCUCUGCUCCACGGUGUUGGAUUCAACCACCACACAGUCAGGUAAUUCCUCCCGACUCAGGACUCGGUCUUUAUCAGCCUCCCCUCUCCUCCCCCCUGCCUCACCCCUCUCUCCUCCUUCUCCUCCAACUGAAUGGUGUGAGCUCGGGGAGAAGGGGGAGAGGAUGGGGGAAGGGCAGGUGGGCAGAGGGUGGGAGUCAACACCUGUCUGUAAGAGCUCUAGAAGCUUCUGGAACUCUGUGACAUGAGGCCCGCUACCAGGAAGCCCUUCUGAUUGGCUGCCUCUGGGACCUGCCUCCUCCCCCUCAUCAACUCCCUCUUCCUCCCUCCCAGGGCGCUUCCCAUUCCUUCCUCCUCCUCUUCUUCUUUGCUCCAGUACCUCCUCUGAAGGCCAGUCUCCAACAAACUCCAACAACUCAG